GACGAACGCUGGCGGCGUGCUUAACACAUGCAAGUCGAACGGAAAGGCCCUGCUUUUGUGGGGUGCUCGAGUGGCGAACGGGUGAGUAACACGUGAGUAACCUGCCCUUGACUUUGGGAUAACUUCAGGAAACUGGGGCUAAUACCGGAUAGGAGCUCCUGCUGCAUGGUGGGGGUUGGAAAGUUUCGGCGGUUGGGGAUGGACUCGCGGCUUAUCAGCUUGUUGGUGGGGUAGUGGCUUACCAAGGCUUUGACGGGUAGCCGGCCUGAGAGGGUGACCGGCCACAUUGGGCCUGAGAGACGGCCCAGAGUCCUACGGGAGGCAGCAGUGGGGAGUAUUGCACAAUGGGCGGAAGCCUGAUGCAGCAACGCCGCGUGCGGGAUGACGGCCUUCGGGUUGUAAACCGCUUUCGCCUGUGACGAAGCGUGAGUGACGGUAAUGGGUAAAGAAGCACCGGCUAACUACGUG
This 468-nucleotide ribosomal RNA is filed under the name uncultured bacterium. RNAcentral's name for it is "partial 16S ribosomal RNA". It matches the Rfam family "Bacterial small subunit ribosomal RNA", at positions 28 to 507 of the family's 1533-position model. The record is from RNAcentral.